This 72-nucleotide transfer RNA is filed under the name Phrynosoma platyrhinos (Desert horned lizard). RNAcentral's name for it is "tRNA-OTHER". The record is from RNAcentral. Lineage: Eukaryota; Metazoa; Chordata; Lepidosauria; Squamata; Phrynosomatidae.
GCCAGCGUGGCGCAGUGGUUUGAGCAUUGGACUAGGACUCUGGAGACCAGGGUUCAAAUCCUGGCUCGCCCA